Molecule: ribosomal RNA, 366 nt
Filed under: uncultured organism
Description: partial 16S ribosomal RNA
Rfam family: Bacterial small subunit ribosomal RNA
Source: RNAcentral
GGAGGGUGCGAGCGUUAAUCGGAAUUACUGGGCGUAAAGAGCACGUAGGCGGCUUGGUCAGUCGGAUGUGAAAGCCCCGGGCUUAACCUGGGAAUUGCACUCGAUACUGCCAGGCUUAGAGUUUAAUAGAGGAAUGCGGAAUUCCGGGUGUAGCGGUGAAAUGCGUAGAUAUCCGGAGGAACAUCAGUGGCGAAGGCGGCAUUCUGGGUUAAAACUGACGCUGAGGUGCGAAAGCGUGGGGAGCAAACAGGGAUUAGAUACCCUGGUAGUCCACGCCGUAAACGAUGUCAACUAGCCCGUUGGGAUUUUCUUAGUGGCGCAGCUAACGCGAUAAGUUGACCGCCUGGGGAGUACGCCGGCAACGGU